Non-coding RNA from Lonchura striata (white-rumped munia), 366 nucleotides. NCBI's taxonomy places the organism in Eukaryota, Metazoa, Chordata, Aves, Passeriformes, Estrildidae. The record is from RefSeq and is a predicted model, not a curated record.
GGGCCGCCCGGCGGGGCGGGAGCGCGGCGGGCCGGGAGGAGAGCUCGGCGUGAGGGGAGCGGGGCCGGCAGCCUGGGGAGCUGUCUGUCUGCUCCUGCCUCGGCAUCCAGGGCCGCUCGGAGCAGCAGUGGCGUCCGUCAUCGGCCUCCACACGGAUACAGCCUUUGCAGAGCACCCGGAAGCGAGAGGAACAGAUAGAAGUCGUUAAGAUUGCAGCAAGCACCAGAAUUCUUCACCUCCUCCUACCACUAAAACCCAGCCAUGGGCAUCUUCACUCCCCUGCAGCCUUCAAACACACCACACACAGCCCAAAGGAGAGAAAGAAAGAAGAUAAACCAGGAGAGAAGGAAGCAGCAAAGAAGAAAU